RNAcentral lists this transfer RNA (83 nucleotides) under Myxococcales bacterium. Its description in RNAcentral is "tRNA-Leu". It matches the Rfam family "tRNA". From Rfam's summary of the family: Transfer RNA (tRNA) molecules are approximately 80 nucleotides in length. Their secondary structure includes four short double-helical elements and three loops (D, anti-codon, and T loops). Lineage: Bacteria; Pseudomonadati; Myxococcota; Myxococcia; Myxococcales. The record is from RNAcentral.
GCCGAAGUGGCGGAAUGGCAGACGCAGCGGAUUCAAAAUCCGCCGUCCAACAGGGCGUGAGGGUUCGAGUCCCUCCUUCGGCA